GAGGAGGUGCCAUGUUAUUCUCAGCGCUCCAAUAGGAUUAACCACACUAUGUAACUGUAUAAAGUGUAAUUAAUUGCACUCUGUGCACAAAGAUAAUCUUCGUGAUGGCACAGUGGUAAUCUGAGACGCUAAUGACCCUUCAGCAGCUGAGGAGUCUAUUUGGUGCCCAAAUCCACGAGAUACCGAUCUGAUAGAACAUUCUCGAUCGUGUUCUUUACCCUAUUUGGAUGUCGCAAGCUAUUCGACUUUUGAUUGGUGCAAGUGGCGGACAAAAAGAACUUAAAAAGGGAACUAUGUGUUGCUGGGAAUAAUAGCCAAUCAUGCCGGUUCAUGAGGCUCAUGAGACAACGUCCGAUUUCGUCAAGGUUACACUGUUGAUUGCCGUUAUUCAGACCAUGGAAGCAAUGUUCCCAAAUAAGGGAGACAAUCAGAAGAUAUUUAUGACAGAGCAAUAAUAUUAAAACAACAUACCCAAGGAUGAAAUGAAAAGGUUUUGUACUCCCUUUGUAAUACACAUUUUUCCUCAGUUAACUUUAGUUAAAACAGCAGCAAGUUAAUAAGCACAAUUUCAGAUGUGACAUUUUGUCUUUCAGAUCGCAUUUUCAUUUUUUUGCACUGGAGUUGACGACUGGAAGUUGUUUAGAUUGAUUUUGUGAUUGAUUUUUUUUUAAAAGCUUCAGAUUAACCCUCAAAGUACGAAGGACAAUUUACAGCGACGUUCAGAAUUCAUAUGCUUUCUAUCACAACAUCUUCAAAAUAUGAUCUUCAAGGAGUUCUAGUGCUUUAAUCCUGCUGGAUUAUACACUAAAGGCUCUGCAUUCUCUAAAUAAACGAGGAAAGGAAUUGGUUCCUUAUCAUUUUUAAUUUGUUGCAGCCAGCCCACAAAAGGUUAAUAGAUGGAUAUGAACCCCUUGGAAAGGCUAACCUUACUGCUACUGAGCAGCAACUAAACAAGCACUCCAGUGUUAUCAGCCCUGACCUGCCUGCACAUUUUGUGGAGAAAACUCUUUGAAAUUAAAUGUUGAAACAUUGAAAUAUUGACUCAGAUCCAUUGGAAGUGAAUAUGCAACUGAGGCUUAUGAACAUUAUUUUUUUACUGUUGGUAACACAGUGCGACAAAGACUAUCUGGAGCCCAGCAAAGGAGCAAAAUUCCAAAUACCCAGAGAAAACUGUUCAAUGAAACUUAACUUGAAGAUAAACAUAACACUUUUUUAAAUGAAUCAGUGCUGCGCUGAGGAGCAGCUGGCCUGGAACAAGAUUCCAGACACUUCAAGCUUCAAAUCACAGACUAUAAACAAUGACUUAUUCUGCCUUUAGAAUUAUAAAGCUUAUUUGUAAAUGUAAGCAAGUUAAACCACAAUUUUGGACAUUUGGGAAUACUUAUAUGAAAUUAUAUUUAAGCAGCUAAAACUGUAUUUCAUCAAAACACUGUUAGAAAGCUCUUUACUCUGUCCCUGAGAUUAUGCUCUGUGAUCGAGGCAUGGUUUUUUAUUGAAUAAUGCAGCAUGGAAACAAACCCUUCGGCCCACUGAGUCCACACUAACUAUCCAUCUCCCGUUCACACUAGUUCUAUGUUAUCCCACUUUUGCAACCACUCCCUACGCAUGAGGAGCAGUUUACAGAAGCCAAAUAACCUACAAACCUGCAUAUGUUUGUGAUGUGGGAGGAAACCGGAGCACCAUGGUGAAACCCAUGUGGUCACAGGGAUAACGUGCCAAC
Amblyraja radiata (thorny skate) is the source of this 1720-nucleotide long non-coding RNA. RefSeq lists it as uncharacterized. The transcript has 4 exons. The record is from RefSeq and is a predicted model, not a curated record. Lineage: Eukaryota; Metazoa; Chordata; Chondrichthyes; Rajiformes; Rajidae.